CCUACGGGAGGCAGCAGUGAGGAAUAUUGGUCAAUGGACGAGAGUCUGAACCAGCCAAGUAGCGUGAAGGAUGACUGCCCUAUGGGUUGUAAACUUCUUUUAUAAAGGAAUAAAAUGAGGCACGUGUGCCUUUUUGCAUGUACCUUAUGAAUAAGGAUCGGCUAACUCCGUGCCAGCAGCCGCGGUAAUACGGAGGAUCCGAGCGUUAUCCGGAUUUAUUGGGUUUAAAGGGAGCGUAGACGGGUUGUUAAGUCAGUUGUGAAAGUUUGCGGCUCAACCGUAAAAUUGCAAUUGAUACUGGCAGUCGUGAGUACAGUUGAGGUAGGCGGAAUUCGUGGUGUAGCGGUGAAAUGCUUAGAUAUCACGAAGAACCCCGAUUGCGAAGGCAGCUUACUAAACUGUGACUGACAUUGAUGCUCGAAAGUGUGGGUAUCAAACAGGAUUAGAUACCCCAGUAGUC
Molecule: ribosomal RNA, 460 nt
Filed under: uncultured bacterium
Lineage: Bacteria
Description: partial 16S ribosomal RNA
Rfam family: Bacterial small subunit ribosomal RNA
Source: RNAcentral